GGGCCCGCACAAGCGGUGGAGCAUGUGGUUCAAUUCGACGCAACGCGAAGAACCUUACCCAGGCUCGAACGGCAUUGGACAUCCUGCGAAAGCAGGCUCCCGCAAGGGCCGAUGUCGAGGUGCUGCAUGGCUGUCGUCAGCUCGUGUCGUGAGAUGUUGGGUUAAGUCCCGCAACGAGCGCAACCCUUGUCCGCUGUUGCCAUCACGUUAUGGUGGGCACUCUGCGGAGACUGCCGGUGAUAAACCGGAGGAAGGUGGGGAUGACGUCAAGUCAGCAUGGCCUUUAUGUCUGGGGCUACACACGUGCUACAAUGGCCGGUACAAACCGUCGCGAUCUCGCAAGAGGGAGCUAAUCGGAGAAAGCCGGUCUCAGUUCGGAUUGCAGGCUGCAACUCGCCUGCAUGAAGUUGGAAUCGCUAGUAAUCGCGGAUCAGCACGCCGCGGUGAAUACGUUCCCGGGCCUU
RNAcentral lists this ribosomal RNA (464 nucleotides) under uncultured bacterium. RNAcentral describes it as "bacterial SSU rRNA". It matches the Rfam family "Bacterial small subunit ribosomal RNA", at positions 917 to 1382 of the family's 1533-position model. The record is from RNAcentral.